Molecule: ribosomal RNA, 39 nt
Filed under: Ophiostoma minus
Lineage: Eukaryota; Fungi; Ascomycota; Sordariomycetes; Ophiostomatales; Ophiostomataceae
Description: partial 26S ribosomal RNA
Source: RNAcentral
AAGGUUGACCUCGGAUCAGGUAGGACUACCCGCUGACUA